GGUUCGAUUAUGGCUCAGAUUGAACGCUGGCGGGAUGCUUUACACAUGCAAGUCGAACGGCAGCACGGACUUCGGUCUGGUGGCGAGUGGCGAACGGGUGAGUAAUGUAUCGGAACGUGCCCUAGUAGCGGGGGAUAACUGCGCGAAAGCGUAGCUAAUACCGCAUACGCCCUUCGGGGAAAGCGGGGGACCUUCGGGCCUCGCACUAUUAGAGCGGCCGAUAUCGGAUUAGCUAGUUGGUGGGGUAACGGCUCACCAAGGCGACGAUCCGUAGCUGGUUUGAGAGGACGACCAGCCACACUGGGACUGAGACACGGCCCAGACUCCUACGGGAGGCAGCAGUGGGGAAUUUUGGACAAUGGGGAAACCUGAUCCAGCCAUCCCGCGUGUGCGAUGAAGGCCUUCGGGUUGUAGAAGCACUUUUGGCAGGAAAAGAAACGGCACCGGGAUAAUACCCCGUGCAACUGACGGCCUGCAGAAUAAGCACCGGCUAACUACGUGCCAGCAGCCGCGGUAAUACGUAGGGUGCAAGCGUUAAUCGGAAUUACUGGGCGUAAAGCGUGCGCAGGCGGUUCGGAAAGAAAGAUGUGAAAUCCCAGAGCCCAACCUGGAACUGCAUUUUUAACUACCGAGCUAGAGUGUGUCAGAGGAGGUGGAAUUCCCGCGUGUAGCAGUGAAAUGCGUAGAUAUGCGGAGGGGAACACCGAUGGCGAAGGCAGCCUCCUGGGGGGAUAACACUGACGCUCAUGCACGGCGUGGGAGCAAACAGGAUUAGAUACCCUGGUAGUCCACGCCUAAACGAUGUCAACUAGCUGUUGGGGCCUUCGGGCCUUGGUAGCGCAGCUAACGCGUGAAGUUGACCGCCUGGGAAAUACGGUCGCAAGAUUAAAACUCAAAGCUGACGGGGACCCGCACAAGCGGUGGAUGAUGUGGAUUAAUUCGAUGCAACGCGAAAAACCUUACCUACCCUUGACAUGUCUGGAAUCCCGAAGAGAUUUGGGAGUGCUCGCAAGAGAACCGGAACACAGGUGCUGCAUGGCUGUCGUCAGCUCGUGUCGUGAGAUGUUGGGUUAAGUCCCACAACGAGCGCAACCCUUGUCAUUAGUUGCUACGAAGGGCACUCUAAUGAGACUGCCGGUGACAAACCGGAGGAAGGUGGGGAUGACGUCAAGUCCUCAUGGCCCUUAUGGGUAGGGCUUCACACGUCAUACAAUGGUCGGGACUUAGAGGGUCGCCAACCCGCGAGGGAGCCAAUCAGAAACCCGAUCGUAGUCCGGAUCGCAGUCUGCAACUCGACUGCGUGAAGUCGGAAUCGCUAGUAAUCGCGGAUCAGCAUGUCGCGGUGAAUACGUUCCCGGGUCUUGUACACACCGCCCGUCACACCAUGGGAGUGGGUUUGCAAGUAGCCUAACCGUAAGGAGGGCGAUUACCACGGUAGGAUUCAUGACUGGGGUGAAGUCGUAACAAGGUAG
Molecule: ribosomal RNA, 1472 nt
Filed under: uncultured Bordetella sp.
Lineage: Bacteria; Pseudomonadati; Pseudomonadota; Betaproteobacteria; Burkholderiales; Alcaligenaceae
Description: partial 16S-23S ribosomal RNA intergenic spacer
Rfam family: Bacterial small subunit ribosomal RNA
Source: RNAcentral